GUGAACGCUGGCGGUAGGCCUAACACAUGCAAGUCGAACGGCAGCACAGUAAGAGCUUGCUCUUACGGGUGGCGAGUGGCGGACGGGUGAGGAAUACAUCGGAAUCUACUUUUUCGUGGGGGAUAACGUAGGGAAACUUACGCUAAUACCGCAUACGACCUACGGGUGAAAGCAGGGGAUCUUCGGACCUUGCGCGAUUGAAUGAGCCGAUGUCGGAUUAGCUAGUUGGCGGGGUAAAGGCCCACCAAGGCGACGAUCCGUAGCUGGUCUGAGAGGAUGAUCAGCCACACUGGAACUGAGACACGGUCCAGACUCCUACGGGAGGCAGCAGUGGGGAAUAUUGGACAAAGGGCGCAAGCCUGAUCCAGCCAUACCGCGUGGGUGAAGAAGGCCUUCGGGUUGUAAAGCCCCUUUGUUGGGAAAGAAAAGCAGCAGGUUAAUACCCCGCUGUUCUGACGGUACCCAAAGAAUAAGCACCGGCUAACUUCGUG
This 491-nucleotide ribosomal RNA is filed under the name uncultured bacterium. RNAcentral describes it as "partial 16S ribosomal RNA". It matches the Rfam family "Bacterial small subunit ribosomal RNA", at positions 29 to 507 of the family's 1533-position model. The record is from RNAcentral.